This 245-nucleotide ribosomal RNA is filed under the name uncultured bacterium. RNAcentral describes it as "partial 16S ribosomal RNA". It matches the Rfam family "Bacterial small subunit ribosomal RNA", at positions 524 to 768 of the family's 1533-position model. The record is from RNAcentral.
GACGUAGGGGGCGAGCGUUAUCCGGAUUUAUUGGGCGUAAAGCGCACGCAGGCGGUCGACCAAGUUUGAGGUGACGGCUCCUCGCUUAACGAGGAGAGGGCCGCAAAGACUGGCCGACUUGAGAGCGAGAGAGGGACAUGGAACUCCAGGUGGAGCAGUGAAAUGCGUAGAGAUCUGGAAGAACACCAAAGGCGAAGGCAGUGUCCUGGCUCGUAUCUGACGCUAAUGUGCGAAAGCUAGGGGAG